This 441-nucleotide ribosomal RNA is filed under the name uncultured bacterium. RNAcentral describes it as "partial 16S ribosomal RNA". It matches the Rfam family "Bacterial small subunit ribosomal RNA", at positions 338 to 795 of the family's 1533-position model. The record is from RNAcentral.
CCUACGGGGGGCAGCAGUGGGGAAUAUUGCACAAUGGGCGAAAGCCUGAUGCAGCAACGCCGCGUGAAGGAAGACGGUUUUCGGAUUGUAAACUUCUGUUCUUAGUGAAGAAUAAUGACGGUAACUAAGGAGCCAGCCACGGCUAACUACGUGCCAGCAGCCGCGGUAAUACGUAGGUGGCAAGCGUUGUCCGGAAUUACUGGGUGUAAAGGGAGCGUAGGCGGGAAGCCAAGUCAGCUGUGAAAACUACGGGCUUAACCUGUAGACUGCAGUUGAAACUGGCUUUCUUGAGUGAAGUAGAGGUGGGCGGAAUGCCGGGUGUAGCGGUGAAAUGCGUAGAUAUUCGGAGGAACACCGAUUGCGAAGGCAGCUUACCAAGCUACGUCUGACGUUGAGGCACGAAAGCGUGGGGAGCAAACAGGAUUAGAUACCCGUGUAGUC